This 253-nucleotide ribosomal RNA is filed under the name uncultured bacterium. Its description in RNAcentral is "partial 16S ribosomal RNA". It matches the Rfam family "Bacterial small subunit ribosomal RNA", at positions 524 to 776 of the family's 1533-position model. The record is from RNAcentral.
UACGUAGGGUGCGAGCGUUGUCCGGAAUUACUGGGCGUAAAGAGCUCGUAGGUGGUUUGUCGCGUUGUUCGUGAAAACUCACAGCUUAACUGUGGGCGUGCGGGCGAUACGGGCAGACUGGAGUACUGCAGGGGAGACUGGAAUUCCUGGUGUAGCGGUGGAAUGCGCAGAUAUCAGGAGGAACACCGGUGGCGAAGGCGGGUAGCUGGGCUGACACUGACGCUGAUGCGCGAAAGCCAGGGGAGCGAACGGG